This 351-nucleotide ribosomal RNA is filed under the name uncultured bacterium. RNAcentral's name for it is "bacterial SSU rRNA". It matches the Rfam family "Bacterial small subunit ribosomal RNA", at positions 70 to 422 of the family's 1533-position model. The record is from RNAcentral.
CGCGGUGUAGCAAUACACUGGCGGCGAGCGGCGGACGGGUGAGGAAUGCGUCGGAAUCUGCCUCUUUGUGGGGGAUAACGUAGGGAAACUUACGCUAAUACCGCAUACGACCUACGGGUGAAAGUGGGGGACCUUCGGGCCUCACGCAGAGAGAUGAGCCGACGCCGGAUUAGCUAGUUGGCGGGGUAAAGGCCCACCAAGGCGACGAUCCGUAGCUGGUCUGAGAGGAUGAUCAGCCACACUGGAACUGAGACACGGUCCAGACUCCUACGGGAGGCAGCAGUGGGGAAUAUUGGACAAUGGGCGCAAGCCUGAUCCAGCCAUGCCGCGUGUGUGAAGAAGGCCUUCGGG